UACGUAUGGUGCAAGCGUUAUCCGGAUUUACUGGGUGUAAAGGGAGCGUAGGCGGCGCGUUAAGUCUGAUGUGAAAACCCGAGGCUCAACCACGGGAGUGCAUUGGAAACUGGCGGGCUGGAGUGCCGGAGAGGUAAGCGGAAUUCCUAGUGUAGCGGUGAAGUGCGUAGAUAUUAGGAGGAACACCAGUGGCGAAGGCGGCUUACUGGACGGCAACUGACGCUGAGGCUCGAAAGCGUGGGGAGCAAACAGG
RNAcentral lists this ribosomal RNA (253 nucleotides) under uncultured bacterium. Its description in RNAcentral is "partial 16S ribosomal RNA". It matches the Rfam family "Bacterial small subunit ribosomal RNA", at positions 524 to 776 of the family's 1533-position model. The record is from RNAcentral.